This 465-nucleotide ribosomal RNA is filed under the name uncultured bacterium. Its description in RNAcentral is "partial 16S ribosomal RNA". It matches the Rfam family "Bacterial small subunit ribosomal RNA", at positions 28 to 507 of the family's 1533-position model. The record is from RNAcentral.
GACGAACGCUGGCGGCGUGCUUAACACAUGCAAGUCGAACGGAAAGGCCCUGCUUGCAGGGUACUCGAGUGGCGAACGGGUGAGUAACACGUGGGUGAUCUGCCCUGCACUUCGGGAUAAGCCUGGGAAACUGGGUCUAAUACCGGAUAGGAGCCAUUUUUAGUGUGAUGGUUGGAAAGUUUUUUCGGUGUAGGAUGAGCUCGCGGCCUAUCAGCUUGUUGGUGGGGUAAUGGCCUACCAAGGCGGCGACGGGUAGCCGGCCUGAGAGGGUGGACGGCCACAUUGGGACUGAGAUACGGCCCAGACUCCGACGGGAGGCAGCAGUGGGGAAUAUUGCACAAUGGGCGCAAGCCUGAUGCAGCGACGCCGCGGGGGGGAUGACGGCCUUCGGGUUGUAAACUCCUUUCGCUAGGGACGAAGCUUUUUGUGACGGUACCUAGAGAAGAAGCACCGGCUAACUACGUG